AAGUCGUAACAAGGUCUCCGUAGGUGAACCUGCGGAAGGAUCAUUACCGAGUUCAUGCCCUUCGGGGUAGAUCUCCCACCCUUUGUAUACUAUACCUUUGUUGCUUUGGCGGGCCGCCUAGCUACUGGCUUCGGCUGGUAAGUGCCCGCCAGAGAACCCAAAACCCUGAAUUAUUAGUGUCGUCUGAGUAAAAUAUUUAAUAUUUAAAACUUUCAACAACGGAUCUCUUGGCUCUG
The sequence is an unclassified non-coding RNA, 236 nucleotides long. The stretch from base 1 to 46 matches the Rfam family "Eukaryotic small subunit ribosomal RNA", at positions 1786 to 1831 of the family's 1831-position model.